AUUACCUGCGGCUGCUGGCACGUAUUAUGCCGGUGCUUAUUCUUCAGUGUACCUGUCAUCCCUCCGAGUGUAUUAUCUCAAAGUGAUUUCUUCCCUGACAAAAGCGGUUUACAACCCGAAUGCCUUCUUCCCGCACGCGGCAUGGCUGGAUCAUGCUUGCUGCCCAUUGUCCAAAAUUCCCCACUGCUGCGCUCCCGUAGGCCCCCCGUGCCCCCGCCCCGCCGCCGCGCGCGGCA
This 236-nucleotide ribosomal RNA is filed under the name uncultured bacterium. RNAcentral describes it as "partial 16S ribosomal RNA". The record is from RNAcentral.